Podarcis lilfordi (Lilford's wall lizard) is the source of this 692-nucleotide non-coding RNA. NCBI's taxonomy places the organism in Eukaryota, Metazoa, Chordata, Lepidosauria, Squamata, Lacertidae. The record is from the annotation of a GenBank genome assembly.
UGAAAGGCUUUUAGCAAAGCUGUGGAAAUGGGCAGAAAAUGGGGAGGUGGGAGAAGAGGGCUCUUCCCGCUGAAUUCGCAUGCUUGUUUCUCCUCUUGGCUGAAGCACAAAAGUGGAGGCCUGGCCUUGCCUGCCCUCCCUGUCAGGGCGCCUCCUCUGCUCGCUCCCGGACAAGAGAAAAACCGAAACCCUAAGCCUAAGAGGAGCAGCGAAGAAUAACAAGCGUCCUUCUCCAGUCGCCACCCUUUUCCUUUCGAAGCAACCGCCCCCCCCCCCGCGCCCUUUACCUACUAUAUUAAUACGAAUAUUUUGUGGAAGUGGGGCCUAUAGUCAGGUUAAUAUAGUACAUACCUGUCUGAAACACGCUAGAUGAGAACAAGAGGCAUCUGCAGCCCCUGCCGAGAGGGGCGAGGGCUCUCCCGCAGGUAGGAGCAGCCUGGGCUUGCGGGGAUGUAGAUCCGCCGCUCCUUCCCUUCCCAAACUUCCCCUUUUAAAGCAAGCGUCUGGCAGGCAGUAGCAGUGUCGUACCAGUGCCUGUGACCCAGGGCCAGAUUUAGGUUUGAUGAGGCCCUAAGCUAUUGAAGGUAAUGAGGCCCUUUAUAUGUCCAGCUGUCCUUUGUCAACAACAAAUUGUUGCUGUUUUUUGUGUUUAAUAUAUGCUAUACAGUGGUACUUUGGGUUACAUACGCUUC